GACGAACGCUGGCGGCGUGCUUAACACAUGCAAGUCGAACGGAAAGGCCUGCUUUCCCUUGUGGAUUGCGGGUACUCGAGUGGCGAACGGGUGAGUAACACGUGAGUGAUCUGCCCCCAACUUGGGUAUAAGCCUGGGAAACUGGGUCUAAUUCCCGAUAGGACUGCAGGGUGGUGCCUGUGGUGGAAAACGAUUUUCUAGUGGUUGGGGAUGAGCUCGCGGCCUAUCAGCUUGUUGGUGGGGUAAUGGCCUACCAAGGCGGCGACGGGUAGCCGGCCUGAGGGGGUGGACGGCCACAUUGGGACUGAGAUACGGCCCAGACUCCUACGGGAGGCAGCAGUGGGGAAUAUUGCACAAUGGGCGGAAGCCUGAUGCAGCGACGCCGCGUGGGGGAUGACGGCCUUCGGGUGGUAAACUCCUUUCGACCGCGAGGAAGCCACCUGGUUGGAAGGGUGGUGACGGUAGUGGUAGAAGAAGCACCGGCUAACUACGUG
RNAcentral lists this ribosomal RNA (494 nucleotides) under uncultured bacterium. Its description in RNAcentral is "partial 16S ribosomal RNA". It matches the Rfam family "Bacterial small subunit ribosomal RNA", at positions 28 to 507 of the family's 1533-position model. The record is from RNAcentral.